RNAcentral lists this ribosomal RNA (428 nucleotides) under Anolis grahami. RNAcentral describes it as "partial 16S ribosomal RNA". It matches the Rfam family "Bacterial large subunit ribosomal RNA", at positions 1970 to 2594 of the family's 2925-position model. Lineage: Eukaryota; Metazoa; Chordata; Lepidosauria; Squamata; Anolidae. The record is from RNAcentral.
UGUCUUAUAAAUAAAGACCCGUAUGAAUGGCUAAAUGAAUAUUUAACUGUCUCCUUUAACUAAUCAGUGAAACUGAUCUUUCAGUACAAAAGCUGAAAUAUAAAUAUAAGACGAGAAGACCCUGUGGAGCUUUAAAUUUUUAUCAAAGAACCUACGUAAAAUAAACUUUUGAAAAAAAAUUUUAAGUUGGGGCAACUUUGGAGCAAAACACAACCUCCAAGAACAAGGCAUCGCCUAAACAUAGGCCUACGAGCCAAAACUACCUGGACCCAGUACUACUGAUUAACGAACCAAGUUACCCCAGGGAUAACAGCGCCAUCUUCUUCAAGAGUUCAUAUCGACAAGAAGGUUUACGACCUCGAUGUUGGAUCAGGACACCCAAAUGGUGCAGCCGCUAUUAAAGGUUCGUUUGUUCAACGAUUAAUCGU